This 490-nucleotide ribosomal RNA is filed under the name uncultured bacterium. Its description in RNAcentral is "partial 16S ribosomal RNA". It matches the Rfam family "Bacterial small subunit ribosomal RNA", at positions 29 to 507 of the family's 1533-position model. The record is from RNAcentral.
AGUGAACGCUGGCGGCAGGCCUAACACAUGCAAGUCGAACGGCAGCACAAGAGAGCUUGCUCUCUGGGUGGCGAGUGGCGGACGGGUGAGGAAUGCAUCGGAAUCUGCCCAUUUGUGGGGGAUAACCUCGGGAAACCGGGACUAAUACCGCAUACGACCUACGGGUGAAAGCAGGGGAUCUUCGGACCUUGCGCAGAUGGAUGAGCCGAUGCCGGAUUAGCUAGUUGGAGGGGUAAAGGCCCACCAAGGCGACGAUCCGUAGCUGGUCUGAGAGGAUGAUCAGCCACACUGGGACUGAGACACGGCCCAGACUCCUACGGGAGGCAGCAGUGGGGAAUAUUGGACAAUGGGCGCAAGCCUGAUCCAGCCAUGCCGCGUGUGUGAAGAAGGCCUUCGGGUUGUAAAGCACUUUUGUUGGGAAAGAAAAGCAGCCGGUUAAUACCCGGUUGUCAUGACGGUACCCAAAGAAUAAGCACCGACUAACUUCGUG